RNAcentral lists this ribosomal RNA (442 nucleotides) under uncultured bacterium. RNAcentral describes it as "partial 16S ribosomal RNA". It matches the Rfam family "Bacterial small subunit ribosomal RNA", at positions 338 to 795 of the family's 1533-position model. The record is from RNAcentral.
CCUACGGGUGGCAGCAGUGGGGGAUAUUGCACAAUGGGGGAAACCCUGAUGCAGCGACGCCGCGUGGGCGAAGAAGUAUUUCGGUGUGUAAAGCCCUAUCAGCAGGGAAGCAGAAAUGACGGUACCUGAGGAAGAAGCACCGGCUAAAUACGUGCCAGCAGCCGCGGUAAUACGUAUGGUGCAAGCGUUAUCCGGAUUUACUGGGUGUAAAGGGAGCGCAGGCGGCACGGCAAGCCUGAUGUGAAAGCCCACGGCCCAACCGCGGGACUGCAGUGGGAACUACCGGGCUGGAGUGCCGGAGAGGUAGGCGGAAUUCCUAGUGUAGCGGUGAAAUGCGUAGAUAUUAGGAGGAACACCAGUGGCGAAGGCGGCCUACUGGACGGUGACUGACGCUGAGGCUCGAAAGCGUGGGGAGCAAACAGGAUUAGAUACCCCUGUAGUC